CGACGGCUCAGUAACACGUAGUCAACCUAACUCGUGGACGUGGAUAACCUCGGGAAACUGAGAAUAAACCACGAUAGAUCAUAGUGCCUGGAAUGGCUUAUGGUUCAAACAGUUUACUGCCAUGGGAUGGGACUGCGGCCUAUCAGCUUGUUGGUGAGGUAAUGGCCCACCGAGGCGAUUACAGGUACGGGCUCUGAGAGGAGAAGCCCGGAGAUGGGUACUGAGACACGGACCCAGGCCCUAUGGGGCGCAGCAGGCGAGAAACCUUAGCAAUGUGCGAAAGCACGACUGGGUCAGUCCGAGUGAUUCCUGAUAAAGGAGUCUUUUGCUUGUCCUAAAAGCACAGGUGAAUAAGGGGUGGGCAAGUCUGGUGUCAGCCGCCGCGGUAAUACCAGCACCUCGAGUGGUCAGGACGUUUAUUGGGCCUAAAGCAUCCGUAGCCGGCUCUGCAAGUCUUCGGUUAAAUCCACCUGCUCAACAGAUGGGCCGCUGGAGAUACUACAGAGCUAGGGAGUGGGAGAGGCAGACGGUAUUCAGUGGGUAGGGGUAAAAUCCUCUGAUCCAUUGAGGACCACCAGUGGCGAAGGCGGUCUGCCAGAACACGUUCGACGGUGAGGGAUGAAAGCUGGGGGAGCAAACCGGAUUAGAUACCCGGGUAGUCCCAGCUGUAAACGAUGCAAACUCGGUGAUGCAUUGGCUUAUGGCCAAUGCAGUGCCGCAGGGAAGCCGUUAAGUUUGCCGCCUGGGAAGUACGGACGCAAGUCUGAAACUUAAAGGAAUUGGCGGG
This 787-nucleotide ribosomal RNA is filed under the name uncultured archaeon. RNAcentral's name for it is "bacterial SSU rRNA". It matches the Rfam family "Archaeal small subunit ribosomal RNA", at positions 83 to 872 of the family's 1478-position model. The record is from RNAcentral.